Long non-coding RNA from Patiria miniata (bat star), 3045 nucleotides. RefSeq lists it as uncharacterized. The transcript has 2 exons. NCBI's taxonomy places the organism in Eukaryota, Metazoa, Echinodermata, Asteroidea, Valvatida, Asterinidae. The record is from RefSeq and is a predicted model, not a curated record.
UAUUUUUUCCACUUUCAAAUUAUUAGGCACUUCCGGUUUCGACCGGAAGGAAGGGUCAUGUGAUUUUGCACGCACAAGAUAAAUUAAAGAUCAGGUAUUAUCAUGUUGAUUCCCGCAAAAUUCAAGUUCUGGUCUCUGAUUUUAUAUUGAAUUUCAAAGAUUAAAUUUGUUAUUUUUUGAAGUGACGUCACGUGAGCCCAUGAUGGCGUCAUGAUGACUGUCACACUACCUCUUAAAGGUUUUCUACGGACAUUAUUUUAGGGGGAACUGAACACGCUAAGUACAUGGGGACACAGACAAAUAAAAACAAGGUCAACUCAAUCCUGGGUUCUCAAACUUAUUCACUUAAACUGUCUCUUAUUCAAGAUCAAAAUUUCCAAAUUCCAAAAUUUAUGAUGAAAUUACACUCAAAUGAUCAAACGGAAAUUUGGGCCCAGACAAGUUUUAAAAUCUCACGUAUUCGUCUCCAAAUUAACAAUUUCAAAGUUAUAAAAUGGACGUCACAAUUAGAAAGAGGAUUUUACAUGAGCUGCACUAAAAUUAUUUGAGAUUCUAAAAUUCAGUAAUCAAUGCAUUCAGAAAUCUAAUCAGUAAAAUAGCUCACGAUAUCUAGAUGAGUUGUACCCAUAUUUCAAUAUGGGGUUUUUCUCCCUUGACAAUAGGAGUGGGAAUGGCAAUUGUAGUUUUACGUAAUUAUGCAAAGUAGACACGCAUACUCGGGUCUAUGUGUUUUACAGAAAAGCAAUGAAGCAUAAAUCUCCUGGUUAUGUGACACACCCGUAUAUGCCACUUCAGGUUAGCUCACUGCCGAGUACACAACUGUUCUACUAAUAUAGUCCUUGCUUCCCACCCACCCACCCUUAAACAUGAGACACGUUUUGCUUGUUGUAUUUUAUUUGCCUUCACUCAGGCUUGCCAAAUGAUUUCUGCUACAUCUGCAAGGCACCAGGACAUUGGGCACGAGAAUGUCCUCUGCAUAGACGACAGCACAUCCCUUUCGGGAGUAGAGCAAGAGCAAAUCCACUCAGUUCCACAUACACCAACUACUACUCCAGCGUACCAUGGCAAAUCCCUCCCAUCCACCAGUCACUUCCACUCAUUUCACCCGCAGCACACACAGCAGUCAUCCCAGCAAAACCAAGCUCAGAUAGUUUUACGACAGUUUUUGGUCGGAAUUUCCUCAGCAAAUUCAAGGUUUCAAGAUGCGCACCUUUCGAGACAUGCUGACGGCCAAGGCAGACGGUACUAUCACCUCUUACCUUUACAAAUGUCGAGAAUUCUUCUCGUGGCUUAAAAAGCUGAAUCUUCCAGUGAAGUUGCCAGUCAGAGAGGAAUUCAUUGCCACUUUCAUUGCCGAUAAGGCAUCUGUCUCUACAUCAGACAGCACCAUCAUUACAUUGGCCUCAGCUUUUAAAUGGCUACAUUCACUAGUCAACUGCAAUCCAAGUCCUGUAGACACUUCAAUAGUGCAAAACGUUGUUGUUAGUCAGAAGCGUAACCUUCACAAACCACCUCAGCAAAAAGAUUUCUUUUGAGAUAGUUCAGUCCAUCGCACACUUCUUUGGUAACCCUAAUUGUAAUUUGAUGCAGCUUAGAACGGCAUGUUAUGUUGUCCUGAAAUUUACUCUCCUUUUUCGACAUGAUGAGAUGGCUCAAAUUAAGGCAAGUCACAUACAAAUGCUACCUAAUGACGCGGGUUUAAGUAUCUUCAUUCCUCGAUCUAAAACCGAUAUCUUUAGGGAAGGCAACAGGGCUUACAUUUCAGAUACGAAAGAAUUUUACACUCCUGUUCAAAUCCUAAAAAGAUACCUAGAGAUGUGUAAAAUUUAUAUUGGACAAAACGUUUACAUCUUCACUCCGCUAUCCUUUCAUUCAAAAUCGAACUCCUACACUCCAGUAGGGAAAAGACCUCUGAGUUACACACGAUGUAGAGAGAUAUUUUUAGACGCUUUGAAACAAAUUGGAAUAACAAAUCCCAACAGAUUCGGUCUUCACAGUAUGCGUUCGGGGGGUGCUUCACACUUAGCUAAUCAUGAUGUGUCUGAAGAGUAAAUACAACAACAUGGAAGGUGGAAAACUACAGAGGCUAAGAAUAGGUACAUACAUAGAAACAUCGAACAACGUCUCCAUGUCUCAAAGGUUCUACAGAAUAUGUAAGCGCUUCUAUCCACAUGUAAAUACUGCAUUAUCUAAUUCAAUUAAUUUAUUUAUUAUGAAGAUGUAUCAUGUAUUAUCAUUGUUCACGUAUAAUCAGUAAUUAAGAAACAAAACUGCCAGAUUUCAUAUCAGAACUCUAUGGAUGAAGGGCCAAGGAGGACAAAGAUAUGUGAAAGCUAAUAAUGUGUUACUUUGUAUUUAAAAUAUAUCUAAUUAGAAAUUAUUGUUAUAUGCAUGAACGUAUUCCUAUUAAUAAUCAAUGAUGGUUUUCGGACUGAGACCAAAGGGCCAAGAAGGCCUUGCUCCAUGAUUGAACAGGUACCGGAUAUAAUGCAAAGAACUGUGCAGUGAAUUUGUAUAUGUAAAAGAGAUCCGGACAGAGUCCGAAGGGCCGAGAGGGCCAUGUUCCAGGUGGAACGAGAGUAUAAUAUAAUUCAAGAAAUUGUUUUGCAGUUUGUACUAAUUUAAUGGAGAUCCGGACAGAGUCCGAAGGGCCGAGAGGGCCAUGUUCCAGGUGGAACGAGAGUAUAAUAUAAUUCAAGAAAUUGUUUUGCAGUUUGUGCUAAUUUAAUGGAGAUCCGGACAGAGUCCGAAGGGCCGAGAGGGCCAUGUUCCAAGGUGGAACGAGUGUAAAUUAUAAUUCAAGAAAUUAUUUUACAGUUUGUACUAAUAAAAAUGGAGAUCCGGACAGAGUCCGAAGGGCCGAGAGGGCCAUGUUACAAGGUGGAAUAAAUUCUGUCAAUUUAAUAAUUAACAAGUAAUUAACUAAUUAAAAUCUAAUUGCACAGUAAAAAAAAAAAAAUUUGUAAUCUUACAGACAAACACAAGUGUACUCGUCACUCUGAGACUAACCCCAAUCCCAUGCUAAUAAAUUAAAUAGAAAUGAAA